AAGUAGGGCGGGACACGUGAAAUCCUGUCUGAAGAUGGGGGGACCAUCCUCCAAGGCUAAAUACUCGUGAUCGACCGAUAGUGAACCAGUACCGUGAGGGAAAGGCGAAAAGAACCCCGGGAGGGGAGUGAAACAGAUCCUGAAACCGCAUGCAUACAAACAGUCGGAGCCCCGCAAGGGGUGACGGCGUACCUUUUGUAUAAUGGGUCAGCGACUUACAUUCAGUGGCAAGCUUAACCGAAUAGGGCAGGCGUAGCGAAAGCGAGUCCGAACAGGGCGUCCAGUCGCUGGGUGUAGACCCGAAACCAGGUGAUCUAUCCAUGGCCAGGUUGAAGGCACGGUAACACGUGCUGGAGGACCGAACCCACUGACGUUGAAAAGUCAGGGGAUGAGCUGUGGAUAGGGGUGAAAGGCUAAACAAACCUGGAAAUAGCUGGUUCUCUCCGAAAACUAUUUAGGUAGUGCCUCGUGUAUCACCUUCGGGGGUAGAGCACUGUCAUGGUUGAUGGGUCCAUUGCGGAUUACGUCGCCAUAGCAAACUCCGAAUACCGAAGAGUGCAAUCACGGGAGACAGACAUCGGGUGCUAACGUCCGGUGUCAAGAGGGAAACAACCCAGACCGCCAGCUAAGGUCCCCAAAUAUGGCUAAGUGGGAAACGAAGUGGGAAGGCUAAAACAGUCAGGAGGUUGGCUUAGAAGCAGCCACCCUUUAAAGAAAGCGUAAUAGCUCACUGAUCGAGUCGUCCUGCGCGGAAGAUGUAACGGGGCUAAGCCAUAUACCGAAGCUGCGGAUGCACAGCAAUGUGCAUGGUAGGAGAGCGUUCCGUAAGCCUGCGAAGGUGCGUUGAAAAGCGUGCUGGAGGUAUCGGAAGUGCGAAUGCUGACAUGAGUAGCGAUAAAGGGGGUGAAAGGCCCCCUCGCCGUAAGCCCAAGGUUUCCUACGCAACGUUCAUCGGCGUAGGGUGAGUCGGCCCCUAAGGCGAGGCAGAAAUGCGUAGCUGAUGGGAAACAGGUCAAUAUUCCUGUACCAGUGUGAAAUGCGAUGGGGGGACGGAUCGCGGAAGGUUGUCCGGGUGUUGGAAGUCCCGGUCGCUGCGUUGGAGAAGGUGCUCUGGCAAAUCCGGGCACGGGAUUCAAGGGCGUGGCGCGAGUCUCUCAGGAGACGAAGCAACUGGAAGGGGUUCCAGGAAAAGCCUCUAAGCUUCAGUUUCACACUGACCGUACCGCAAACCGACACAGGUGGGCGAGAUGAGUAUUCUAAGGCGCUUGAGAGAACUCGGGAGAAGGAACUCGGCAAAUUGGUACCGUA
This 1308-nucleotide ribosomal RNA is filed under the name Paraburkholderia silvatlantica. RNAcentral's name for it is "partial 23S ribosomal RNA". It matches the Rfam family "Bacterial large subunit ribosomal RNA", at positions 410 to 1732 of the family's 2925-position model. Lineage: Bacteria; Pseudomonadati; Pseudomonadota; Betaproteobacteria; Burkholderiales; Burkholderiaceae. The record is from RNAcentral.